Molecule: non-coding RNA, 809 nt
Organism: Oncorhynchus mykiss (rainbow trout)
Lineage: Eukaryota; Metazoa; Chordata; Actinopteri; Salmoniformes; Salmonidae
Source: RefSeq, a predicted model, not a curated record
UUAGUUUGGAGAAUAAAUAUGUUAUACCUCCAGAUCUAGACAAGCAGUGUUGUUGAUAAGCAGUGUAGGCUAGUGUUCAACAUACCGCUUAGCUUCUCCUCUCUUUAUGGAGUAACCCAGCUGACCUUUGCCCCCGAUUUGUAUUGAAAGUCACAACAUAAAAUCAAGAAGGCAAAACGGAGAGUGUUUUUUUUUUUCACAGCUCUAGUGUUUGCCCUCUCUUCACCACUUAUGCUGCUUUGGUGUCUACUUUAAAAGGUGGAAGUAUUCAUUACCAGCUCUGCAGUGCUCCUGAAGAAAAGACCGGAUCCUACCGGACUGCAGUGGAGAUCAGAUUGAAGAGGGGGAAGAGAGGAAAGAAAAUACCCGAAGAUGAGGUAAAGUAGCACCGAAGACCAAUGUUGGCACAAGAAGAGGAAGGAGACAGAGGGUACGUCCCUAAUGGAACCCUAUUCCCUAUAAAGUGGAUUACUUUUAACAAAAGCCAUAUGGGUCCUGGUCAAAAGUUGUGCACUACAUAGGGAAUAGGGUGCCAUUUGGGAUGCCGAGUAGCUAGGAGGCUACAAACAGACCAUGAAGCAGCUAGCUAAGGAUUACUGAGUCUGUGUUUCAGAUUAAGGCCUGAAGACCAACAAGUGUUAAACAAAGACAGCAGGGACAGGAAGAGGAAAUGAAAUGUUUACAGUGAAGGAGAGGAGGGGUGGCAGAGGAUAGUGAUAACUGACGGAGGACCAGACUUCCUCUGCUACUGUCACUGGAGGUUAGAGAUGUUCUCAGAGAACUGGUGUCAUUGGUGGAGAAAUAAAAAU